UACGUAGGUGGCAAGCGUUGUCCGGAAUUAUUGGGCGUAAAGCGCGCGCAGGUGGUUCCUUAAGUCUGAUGUGAAAGCCCACGGCUCAACCGUGGAGGGUCAUUGGAAACUGGGGAACUUGAGUGCAGAAGAGGAAAGUGGAAUUCCAAGUGUAGCGGUGAAAUGCGUAGAGAUUUGGAGGAACACCAGUGGCGAAGGCGGCUCACUGGCCCGGUACUGACGCUGAGGCGCGAAAGCGUGGGGAGCAAACAGG
Molecule: ribosomal RNA, 253 nt
Filed under: uncultured bacterium
Lineage: Bacteria
Description: partial 16S ribosomal RNA
Rfam family: Bacterial small subunit ribosomal RNA
Source: RNAcentral